UUACAAUGCUUUACUACAAUUCAUUGAUUUAGGAAAUUGAAUUGGCAGCAGUUGGUGCAGAUCAGCAAAAGAUUUCUGGAGCAGUUUGCAGCUUUUCUGCCACUCUCUGAGAUAUUAUGAGUUCAUCCACACCUACCAAGUGUGCUCCAGCUACUUUUCAAUGUUAAA
Molecule: non-coding RNA, 168 nt
Organism: Prunus avium (sweet cherry)
Lineage: Eukaryota; Viridiplantae; Streptophyta; Magnoliopsida; Rosales; Rosaceae
Source: RefSeq, a predicted model, not a curated record